RNAcentral lists this ribosomal RNA (468 nucleotides) under uncultured bacterium. RNAcentral describes it as "partial 16S ribosomal RNA". It matches the Rfam family "Bacterial small subunit ribosomal RNA", at positions 28 to 507 of the family's 1533-position model. The record is from RNAcentral.
GACGAACGCUGGCGGCGUGCUUAACACAUGCCAGUCGAACGGAAAGGCCCUGCUUUUGUGGGGUGCUCGAGUGGCGAACGGGUGAGUAACACGUGAGUAACCUGCCCUUGACUUUGGGAUAACUUCAGGAAACUGGGGCUAAUACCGGAUAGGAGCUCCUGCUGCAUGGUGGGGGUUGGAAAGUUUCGGCGGUUGGGGAUGGACUCGCGGCUUAUCAGCUUGUUGGUGGGGUAGUGGCUUACCAAGGCUUUGACGGGUAGCCGGCCUGAGAGGGUGACCGGCCACAUGGGGACUGAGAUACGGCCCAGACUCCUACGGGAGGCAGCAGUGGGGAAUAUUGCACAAUGGGCGGAAGCCUGAUGCAGCAACGCCGCGUGCGGGAUGACGGCCUUCGGGUUGUAAACCGCUUUCGCCUGUGACGAAGCGUGAGUGACGGUAAUGGGUAAAGAAGCACCGGCUAACUACGUG